CUGGAAUGUGCCACAGACAUUGCCUCCAGAGUGAUGUUUUCUGCAGCAUGGUUCACUGACUACAACUGAGAAGAUGCGUCAGGACAGAGCAUCCCUGCCUUCUGAAUGUAGACAGAACAACUUAAAACAAUGAGAACAAAAGCAUCCAAAGGAGGCAGAUGGCAAAGAAAGGAAUGACUGCAGCUUUAAGCAGCCAACUACCAACCUUUGUGAGCAGGGCUGUGAGAGAGGAGCCUUGCCCAGCCUGAAUGUUAGUAAAAUCCAGACUUGAAUGUGGGAUGGGAUCAAAGCAGAGAUAGAGGGAUUUGGGCAUUUUUUAGUUUUCAAAAGUGCUGUGCUGCAGAUAUCAUGCUGUAUCACAGCAGCAUUCUGAGGUAAUAGAGGACAAAUGAGGGGAUGUGCUUGUGAUAUGUGUUUUUAUAUACAGUUAUUUGACUGCAUUCUCUACAGGCCAGAAAAAGGUUGCUGGGUAAGAAUUCAAGUCUGGGAGCUUGUCUGUGUAGACUGAAGUAGGAACUAUUUAAUAAGUAUACCAAAACACAAGUGUCACAGACGUAUGUGGGAUUCAGCAUGCAGUGUUUGCACAGAAAUGCACUAUGCAAAGUUAUACAAGGAUCUGUUCUUCAUUACAGAUGAGAACAUUAACGAAAAGCAAAGCUACAGAACCUUAAUCUUUAACAUUACUUUAAAAUUUUAGUGCAAGUGACUAGAUGGCUCAGUCAGCUCUUAAUUUAGCAGUUCAGAUACAGCAUAAAUUAACACCUCUUACUUUAGCCUGUAGCUAACAUUGAAUAAUUAGGUGAUUUCCACUACUGAAUGAUUAUCACAAUAAAAACCUUUCACAACU
Long non-coding RNA from Cygnus olor (mute swan), 847 nucleotides. RefSeq lists it as uncharacterized. Lineage: Eukaryota; Metazoa; Chordata; Aves; Anseriformes; Anatidae. The transcript is spliced from 2 exons. The record is from RefSeq and is a predicted model, not a curated record.